GAACGGAAAGGCCCUGCUUUUGUGGGGUGCUCGAGUGGCGAACGGGUGAGUAACACGUGAGUAACCUGCCCUUGACUUUGGGAUAACUUCAGGAAACUGGGGCUAAUACCGGAUAGGAGCUCCUGCUGCAUGGUGGGGGUUGGAAAGUUUCGGCGGUUGGGGAUGGACUCGCGGCUUAUCAGCUUGUUGGUGGGGUAGUGGCUUACCAAGGCUUUGACGGGUAGCCGGCCUGAUAGGGUGACCGGCCACAUUGGGACUGAGAUACGGCCCAGACUCCUACGGGAGGCAGCAGUGGGGAAUAUUGCACAAUGGGCGGAAGCCUGAUGCAGCAACGCCGCGUGCGGGAUGACGGCCUUCGGGUUGUAAACCGCUUUCGCCUGUGACGAAGCGUGAGUGACGGUAAUGGGUACAGAAUCACCCGCUAACUACGUG
This 432-nucleotide ribosomal RNA is filed under the name uncultured bacterium. RNAcentral describes it as "bacterial SSU rRNA". It matches the Rfam family "Bacterial small subunit ribosomal RNA", at positions 64 to 507 of the family's 1533-position model. The record is from RNAcentral.